Molecule: ribosomal RNA, 513 nt
Filed under: uncultured bacterium
Lineage: Bacteria
Description: partial 16S ribosomal RNA
Rfam family: Bacterial small subunit ribosomal RNA
Source: RNAcentral
GACGAACGCUGGCGGCGUGCUUAACACAUGCGAGUCGAACGAAAAGAGGGAAAGAGCUUGCUCUUUCCGGAAUUGAGUGGCAAACGGGUGAGUAACACGUAAACAACCUGCCUUCAGGAUGGGGACAACAGACGGAAACGACUGCUAAUACCGAAUAAGUUCCAAGGGCCGCAUGGCCCAUGGAAGAAAAGGUGGCCUCUACCUGUCAGCUAUCGCCUGAAGAGGGGUUUGCGUCUGAUUAGCUGGUUGGAGGGGUAACGGCCCACCAAGGCGACGAUCAGUAGCCGGUCUGAGAGGAUGAACGGCCACACUGGAACUGAGACACGGUCCAGACUCCUACGGGAGGCAGCAGUGGGGAAUCUUCCGCAAUGGGCGAAAGCCUGACGGAGCAACGCCGCGUGAGUGAUGACGGCCUUCGGGUUGUAAAACUCUGUGAUCCGGGACGAAAAGGCAGAGUGCGAAGAACAAACUGCAUUGACGGUACCGGAAAAGCAAGCCACGGCUAACUACGUG